GAUGAACGCUAGCGGCAGGCCUAAUACAUGCAAGUCGGACGGGAUUCAGGAGCUUGCUUCUGAUGAGAGUGGCGCACGGGUGCGUAACACGUAUGUAACCUACCUUUAUCAGGGGGAUAGCCUCUCGAAAGAGAGAUUAAGCCCGCAUAAAAUCACAGCACAGCAUUGUGUAAUGAUCAAAUAUUUAUAGGAUAAAGAUGGGCAUGCGGAACAUUAGCUAGAUGGCGGGGUAACGGCCCACCAUGGCGACGAUGUUUAGGGGAUCUGAGAGGAUGGCCCCCCAAACUGGUACUGAGACACGGACCAGACUCCUACGGGAGGCAGCAGUAAGGAAUAUUGGUCAAUGGGCGGAAGCCUGAACCAGCCAUGCCGCGUGCAGGAAGACGGCCCUACGGGUUGUAAACUGCUUUUAUACGGGAAUAAACCCAGAUACGUGUAUCUGGCUGAAUGUACUGUAAGAAUAAGGAUCGGCUAACUCCGUG
This 482-nucleotide ribosomal RNA is filed under the name uncultured bacterium. RNAcentral's name for it is "partial 16S ribosomal RNA". It matches the Rfam family "Bacterial small subunit ribosomal RNA", at positions 28 to 507 of the family's 1533-position model. The record is from RNAcentral.